RNAcentral lists this long non-coding RNA (609 nucleotides) under Hordeum vulgare. RNAcentral describes it as "long non-coding RNA (HVUL_LNC008134)". Lineage: Eukaryota; Viridiplantae; Streptophyta; Magnoliopsida; Poales; Poaceae. The record is from RNAcentral.
UCUCAAGAACAAAAGCUAAAUUCCACCAACCAUCGUUAAAUACAAUGGCUAUCUUUUAAAGUUCAUUGAAUAAUUGCCUCCUAUCGUGUGCAUAGUCUCUUAUAUACACCCUUAACAGUCGUAGACCUCUCUACCAGGCCAGUACCAACCAAGUCAACAUAUCUACUAUUAUGAUUUGGCAAAAAAAGAUACCGGUAUCAAGUGAGCAAACUAGCUAUGUGUACAACACGAAAAAACAAUUAUAUGUACCAAUUUGGAAGUUUUGUUGGUAUCAAGAGGCAUUCAGAACCAUAGUUGUGUCACCAUGCUCUAUUCUAGCAUAUAAGGAGCCGGCACUCCGGCUAGGGUAUAUAAUUGGAUGCCGAUGUGGAGAUGCAAGAGUUGUUUUCUUGUGAAAUGCUAGCAUUAAUUUCCUGCACAUGCCCAUAUAAUUUAGAAGAAUUUGCUUGUCCACUUUUAUCAAAUGCACAAACCAUUGACGAACUGUAGCACAUUAGUAAUCAGGCUUGAGAGACAGUUGUGAUACCAAGUAGUAUGAUACAAGAUCGGGUUAAAUGAUAGCAAAUGUAUCAAACAACCUUCCAUUCUCUAAACAAAAAUAAAAGGAUG